Molecule: ribosomal RNA, 484 nt
Filed under: uncultured bacterium
Lineage: Bacteria
Description: partial 16S ribosomal RNA
Rfam family: Bacterial small subunit ribosomal RNA
Source: RNAcentral
AUUGAACGCUGGCGGCAGGCCUAACACAUGCAAGUCGAGCGGAUGAAGGGAGCUUGCUCCUGGAUUCAGCGGCGGACGGGUGAGUAAUGCCUAGGAAUCUGCCUGGUAGUGGGGGAUAACGUCGGGAAACGGGCGCUAAUACCGCAUACGUCCUGAGGGAGAAAGUGGGGGAUCUUCGGACCUCACGCUAUCAGAUGAGCCUAGGUCGGAUUAGCUAGUUGGUGGGGUAAAGGCCUACCAAGGCGACGAUCCGUAACUGGUCUGAGAGGAUGAUCAGUCACACUGGGACUGAGACACGGCCCAGACUCCUACGGGAGGCAGCAGUGGGGAAUAUUGGACGAUGGGCGAAAGCCUGAUCCAGCCAUGCCGGGUGUGUGAAGAAGGUCUUCGGAUUGUAAAGCACUUUAAGUUGGGAGGAAGGGCAGUAAGUUAAUACCUUGCUGUUUUGACGUUACCAACAGAAUAAGCACCGGCUAACUUCGUG